UUUCUUGCAUCUUUGGUUCUUGGAUUUGCCUGUGUAAUUCAUCAAGUGCAAGAGGCCUCCAAGUACAAGGUGUUAAGAAGCUUCACAUCUCAGGCAUUGAAAACUUCCAGAAUGCACAGUAUUAGUUGUGUCACCUAUGAAGCUAGAUUCCUCUGCUUCAGCAAUUCUGUAGACAUGAGGAAGGCGAAUAUGGAUUUUU
Molecule: long non-coding RNA, 199 nt
Organism: Rosa chinensis
Lineage: Eukaryota; Viridiplantae; Streptophyta; Magnoliopsida; Rosales; Rosaceae
Exons: 3
Source: RefSeq, a predicted model, not a curated record